Molecule: long non-coding RNA, 640 nt
Filed under: Pongo abelii (Sumatran orangutan)
Lineage: Eukaryota; Metazoa; Chordata; Mammalia; Primates; Hominidae
Description: lincRNA
Source: RNAcentral
CAAUGGACUCGGGUUAUAAUUACCAACAGAGGAGAGAAUAACUAUAAGUUAUUUUGAUGUAAAAAGCAUAUUAUACUAAGCCAACAUAAUAACACAGUUUUUAUGAAGCACAAUAAUUACAUUGAAGACUCACAGAAGUGCAUUUUUCUAAAAGAAGAAGAUUCUCAUAUAGAAACAGAUUAACAGAAACAGAAACAGCAACACUAGAGAACAGCAAAAUGGUAACAUUUCAAAUAGUAACAUUUCAAGAAAAUAUAUACACCUUCACAGUAUGUGAUGGUAUCCACUUACUGUCUACUGCCUCCAUAACUCCUAAAGUCUUCUGAAGAUUCAUUAAUGCUUUGAAUAUAUAAGCCAACAUUUCUUUUCACAGCCUUUUCACAACUGGGAAUUCUUUAGAGAAAGGCAAUCUUACUUCAUUUACUUACUUCAUCAGUAAUGCCAUUACUAUGCCUACCUAAGAAGAAAAUAUGUCAUGUGGCAGAGGACUAGAAAGAAAAAACAGCAACAACAAAAGGCUGUGAAGAUUUGAUCAUAUGCCUAUGUGUGUGGUGAAUACAAUAUUUCUUUAAUCGCAAUCAGGAAUAUGAAUCUUAUUUUGAUGCUAUGACAUAAUAAAGUGGAUUAUUUUCCUGAAAUU